Long non-coding RNA from Armigeres subalbatus, 346 nucleotides. RefSeq lists it as uncharacterized. The record is from RefSeq and is a predicted model, not a curated record. The transcript is spliced from 3 exons. NCBI's taxonomy places the organism in Eukaryota, Metazoa, Arthropoda, Insecta, Diptera, Culicidae.
GGCAAUUUGGGACCACAUUGGAUCACUUCAACCGAGACCGUGGAAAAAUCCGGGAGUGCGAGUUUUAAGUCUCUUAGUAUCGUGAAUCUGUUGUGGCUAAGGUCUAGUUAGAGAGUGUUGUACGAUUCGAUAGUAAUUGUUGUGCGAGUAUCCUAGAAAAAGAAGUUUUUGUGAACGGGAUUGGAACCGACGCCUCUAUCGACCUCUGAACAUCAACCGCAUCGCCCAACCCUCUCGACCAUCGUUUUCGUCGAUCCACGCGCUCUCGUCGGAAAUUCUCCGAGUUGCGGCUUUUGACCCGUGAACCGGAAAGGGGCCGCACCGUCACCAUUGCGUCCGUCUUGGC